RNAcentral lists this ribosomal RNA (450 nucleotides) under uncultured bacterium. RNAcentral's name for it is "bacterial SSU rRNA". It matches the Rfam family "Bacterial small subunit ribosomal RNA", at positions 32 to 456 of the family's 1533-position model. The record is from RNAcentral.
AAUCAACGCUGGCGGCGUGCCUCAGACAUGCAAGUCGAACGCGAAAUUUCCCUUCGGGGAGAAAGUAGAGUGGCGCACGGGUGAGUAACACGUAGGUAAUUUGCCUUUGGGUGGGGAAUAACUCAGGGAAACUUGAGCUAAUACCGCAUAAUGCAGCGGCUCGACAUCGAGACAGUUGUUAAAGCGGGGGAUUGGAGCAAUCCGACCUCGCGCCUAAAGAGAAGCCUGCGGCAGAUUAGCUAGUUGGUAAGGUAAUGGCUUACCAAGGCGACGAUCUGUAACCGGCCUGAGAGGGCGGUCGGUCACACUGACACUGACAUACGGGUCAGACUCCUACGGAGGCAGCAGUCGGGAAUUUUGGGCAAUGGGCGCAAGCCUGACCCAGCAACGCCGCGUGAAGGAUGAAAUUUUUCGGAAUGUAAACUUCGCAAGAACAGGAAGAAUAAGUGU